AGUCGUUGUGGGAGAAGGAGAAGCUGGAG
This 29-nucleotide non-coding RNA is filed under the name Rattus norvegicus (Norway rat). The record is from RNAcentral. Lineage: Eukaryota; Metazoa; Chordata; Mammalia; Rodentia; Muridae.